RNAcentral lists this ribosomal RNA (253 nucleotides) under uncultured bacterium. RNAcentral describes it as "partial 16S ribosomal RNA". It matches the Rfam family "Bacterial small subunit ribosomal RNA", at positions 524 to 776 of the family's 1533-position model. The record is from RNAcentral.
UACAGAGGUCUCACGCGUUGUUCGGAUUCAUUGGGCGUAAAGGGUGCGUAGGCGGCCUAUUAAGUCAGUGCUGAAAUAUCCCGGCUUAACCGGGAGGGUGGCAUUGAUACUGAUGGGCUUGAGUAGAGUUGAGGUUGGCGGAAUUGACGGUGUAGCGGUGAAAUGCUUAGAUAUCGUCAAGAACACCUAUUGCGAAGGCAGCUAACUAAGCUCAAACUGACGCUGAGGCACGAAAGUGUGGGGAUCAAACAGG